UGGGUGGCUGAGCCGGGUGAUCCCUGUGAGUGCUGCGUACCCAUCGAGGGCCAUUCUUCCCCUUGUUUACUCCUGGUCAGUCAAUGAAGUAGUCAUUGAACACCUAUUAUGAUCGUCCAGGCGCUGUCGUUUCAGCAGCGUGAACAAAGUGAAACCUGGAGCUUAAAUUCUUGUAACGGUGACAUGCGGCCAGAGAAGGAUGUGUGGAGCCUGUUUUAAAACAGGCCCCGAAUGGCGGGCAGUGCUAUUCUUACAGACAGGCCCGGAAUACCCCUCUGAAGGGGCGUUGUUUGAGCAAAAUAUCAAGAAAGUGAGACGACGUCCUAUGUAAAUUCCAGGAAGGAGCAGUGUGGGCCUCGAGGGAGCUGAGACGGGGAGCAUUGUGGCCAGGAGGGCGCAGAACAGGAGGCGGUCCAGUACGUAUAGUGAUUCUCAAAAUGGGGUCCCCUGGCUGCCUCAACACACGGAAACCAGUUGAAACUGACUAGAAAGGCACAAAUGCAAAAUACCGAAUCAUGAAAUUCUGCAGGUGGGCGCAACAACUUUGCCCUCCAGGAGAUUCGGAUGCUCAAGUUUGAGAACCGCCGUUGUGGAGCCUUGUAGGACGUGGCAAGAACUUUGGGUUUUGCGAUGAAAUGGGAAGCUAUGAGUUUUGAGCAGAGAAAUGAUGAUGCAAUUUAAUAUUAGAGGAUCACUCUGCGUUAGCAGCUGGGUGGAAGAUGGACUUUACAAGGUCAAGGGCAGCUGCUGCAGCACUCCAGCUGAGAAAUCGCAGGCUUUACUAGGGUGGUGGGGGUCAAGGUGAUGAAUAGUGGUUCUGUUGUGAAUAUAUUUGAAAGAUAGUGCAAAAUUUGCUGACUGGCUAGACGACGUGCAGGGUGAGAGAGGAGUGAAGGAUAACUCCAAGAUUUUUGACUGGAGCAACUGCAGAAGGGAUGUACAGCUGUGCAGGUCGAGGAGGUGACGGGCUGUGUUGGAUGCUGCGGAUCAGCGGAGCAAGUUGAAGCUAAGGCUCAGCCACAGGAUAUGCAGUGUAGAGAUCGCGUCUCAGCUAAAUGCCCUUCAGAAAGUUGAGGCUUUGCUGUUCCCUACUCUGAGUGAAUUUCACUUCCUCAAGGAGAAGAGGAAGGUGGGGGAGGUCAGUACCUCCAUUAGAAAAAAAGAAGUGGAGGAACCACACCUUUAAAACUGACUUCUGCAUUUUUAUAUUUUCCCUCUGAUUAAAGCAACACAUGCCAUCUGAGAAUCUUGGAAAACAAGAGAAAAUCAUAGCAAAGGCUAUUAUGUACAUCACACGUAACACCACCCCUAGUUAUCUACUUUUUGGUUUCUUUUCUUCCAGGCUUUUUUUUUUCUAUGAGUAGGUAUUUUUACACCAAGAGAUUUUCCUUGGACAUAUAAUUUUAUAUCCUCCUAACAAGCUUUGUUCACCUGUCACUAAAAUGAAUGUUCAGUGACUACUGAAUUUUUCUAUUUUAUGGUAAUAUAAUUUAUUUAGCCAAGCCCUAAUUUGGGGGCAUUGAACUAGUUCCAGGUUAUCCUGUUAUAAAUAGCUCUGUAAUGAGUAUCGUUGGAUAUAAAUCUUUUAUUUGGGGGGAGGGGGUAAUUAGGUUUGUUUGUGUUUUUAGAAGAGGGACUGGAGAUUGAACCUAGGACCUUGUACAUACUAGGCAUGCACGCCAGCACUUGAUCUAUACCCUCCCCUGGAUAUAAAUCUUUAACAGCAUCUUUAAUUGUUUUUUUAAGGCAAAUUCUGAGAAAUAGAAAUUACGGCUUUAAACAUACAGCCUUUGUUUAAGCUCUAACUGCCAAAACUGGUUAAUUUUACUGAAGGAGUUGAUGAGGAAGAACGGCUAAUCUGACGUUUUCAUAAUUAGGAUAUUUUUAUGAACUGAUAUUUGACAAGAAUACCACUGAAUAUUCUUGGGAAAGGAUAAUCUUUAAUAAACUUUGUUGGGCAAACUGGGUAACCACAUGCAGAAGAAUGAAAUUGGACCCCUAUCCUAUACCACUCCAAAAAAUUAACUCAAAGUGGAUUAAAGACUUAACUGUAAGAUCUGAAACUAUAAAACUCUUAGGAGAAAAAAAAAAAGGAAAAGCCUCCUUGACAUUGGUCUCGGCAACAAUGUUUUGGACAUGACACCAAAAGCACAAACAACAAAGGCAGAAAUAACUAAAUGGGACUACAACAAACUAAAUCGCUUCUGUGCAGUGGGGAGGGUAUAGCUCAGUAGUAGAGUGUGUGCUUAGCAUGCAUGAGGUCCUGGGUUCAAUCCCCAGUACCUCCAUUUAAAUAAACCUAAUAUCCUCCCACCAAGAAAAAAGCAGGAAAAAAAUUUUAAAAGCUUCUGUGCAGCAAAGGAAACAACAGCAAAAUAAAAAGGCAACCUACAGAACUGGAAAAAUAUUUGUAAACCUGAUAAGGGGUUAAUAUCCAAAAUAUAUAGAGAACUCAUCUCACUCAAUACAAAACAAAUUUUAAAGUGGGCAGAGGAUUUGAAAAGACAUUCUUCCAAAGAAGACAUACAAAUGGCCAACAGAUAUGUGAAAAGAUGCUUAACAUGAUUCAUCAAGGAAAUGCAAAUCCAAACCUCAGUGAGAUGUCAGCUCACACUUGUCAGGACAGCUGUCAUCAAAAAGACAAGAUAACAAAUGCUGGUGAAGAUGGGGAGGGAAGGGAUCCUUUGUGCACUGUCGUUGGGAAUGUAAAAUGAUGCAGCCACUGUGGAACACAGUAUAGGUUCCUUAAAAAAUUAAAACCAGAACUACUGUAUCAUCUAGCAGUCCUACUUCUGGGUAUAUUUCCAAAGGAAAUGAAAGUAGGGUCUACAUCUGCACUCCAUAUUCAUUGUAGCAUUUUUCACUGUAGCCAAGAUAUGGACCUAAGUGUCUGUUAAUGGAUGGAUGGAUAAAGAAUGAAUAUGUGGUUUAUGUAUACAAUGGAGUAUUAUUCAGCCAUGAGAAAGGAGAUCCUGCCAUUUGUGACAACAUGAAUGACUUUGAGGGCAGUGUGCCAAGUGAAGUCAGUCUGGCAGAGAAUGACAAAUACUGUAUGAUGUUACUCAUAUGUAGAAUCUAAAAAACCUGGUUUCACAGGUUCACAGUUGGAAAAGAAUUUUGCUCCAGCAUGAAGCAUACCUCUUACCCGUAACUGAUUUGUAUAAUUUAGAAGAUGAGAUUUGAGUUGAUAAAGUUUAGAUGAGAUGUUGGGCCUAGUCUUAUGCUAGAACAAUUAAGACUUUGAGGGAAAUUGGGAUGGGGUGAAAGUACUUUGCACAUGGGAAAAAUUACGAAUUUUUAGAGGCCAUAGGGCAGACUGUAAUGGGUUUAUGUUCCCCACCACACAAAGACAUUUUGAAGUCCUAACCUCCAGUACUUCAGAAUGUGAGCUUGUUUGUAAAUACAGACUUUACAGAGGUCAUCAAGUUAAAAUGAGGUCAUUAGGGUGGGCCCUAAUCCAGUAUGUCUGGGAAACAUAGAGGGAGACCACAUGAAGACAGGAGGCAGAAACUGGAGGUAAAGCUGCAUGCCAAGGAGUGCCUGGGGCUACCAGGAGCCAGGAAGAGGCAAGGACGGAUUAACCUGCAGGUUUCAGAGGGCACCUGGCCCCGCUGACACCAUCAUUUUGGACUUACAGCCUUCAGAGCUGAGACAAUAAAUCUGUGUUAUAAGCUACCCAGUUUGUGGUACUUUGUUGUAAUAGCCCCCAUUGUUGGACAUGUAGACUGUUAAUUUGGAGCCUUUACGGGUACAUUUUAGCACAUCUGCAAUCACAUUCCUACACACAAAAUUGGUGGGUCAUAGGAUAUACAAGAUUCUGGGUUGUUUUUGGUUUUUUUUUGACAUGGUUUGUGUUAAAGAAGGUUUAUUGUUAGCUUUAUUGCCUAUAGUCUAUAAGAUGCAACUUUAUUGUGCCUUUGAAGGCCCUGAGGGUUUUGACUUGCGACUAAGUUGCCCUCUACACGAAGGUAUUAACUACAUGAUCUCCAUUCUGUGGGAACACCCACUCCGGUACCCUCUGACAGUAGGCUUUGUUUUAAUCACUGUUAAUUUCUGAUUCGGGUCAUCAGAGUGUCCAGAGAAAUAUGCCAGAGCAUGUUGGGUAGAACACUGCAGACUUGCAUCCUGGGAAGACGUAGCUGUAAUGUUUCUAGGUUGCUGUUACUCGUCUAGAAAGCGAUCAACUCGGGCAAAGGAGGGACAACUGGGAAGGCACUGUGUCUAAGAACAGAUCUGGACAAAGUGAUCACAGUGGAAAUAAAUAUCAGCUUUAUUAACA
This is a long non-coding RNA of Camelus dromedarius (Arabian camel), 4279 nucleotides long. RefSeq lists it as uncharacterized. Lineage: Eukaryota; Metazoa; Chordata; Mammalia; Artiodactyla; Camelidae. The transcript has 2 exons. The record is from RefSeq and is a predicted model, not a curated record.